This 2607-nucleotide long non-coding RNA is filed under the name Zostera marina. RNAcentral describes it as "long non-coding RNA (ZMAR_LNC001371)". The record is from RNAcentral. Lineage: Eukaryota; Viridiplantae; Streptophyta; Magnoliopsida; Alismatales; Zosteraceae.
GUCCGAGCACGGUCUUGGUCAUCAAAUAUAAAGAAUUUCUACACAAAAAAUUGUUGAUUUAUUUAUCAAAUAAUCAAAUAAAUUUAACACAUAAAAUACAUACAAUCACAUAAUAUACCAAAAAAUUUCCCCAAAUUAUAUCUUUAUCUUCAUCGCUCCAUUGAGCUCAUGUGAUUUCUGCCCCUGGAAUACAUCCUUUAACCAAGCAACCAAUUUGCUUUCGUAUAUUAUUUGAAAAUGUUCUGUAAGUUAAAGUUUUAAGUUUAAUUAAUAUAAUAAAAAGAAAACAAUUAAUUAAUUAUUUAAUUUUGAAAUAAACUAAAUACCCAAAUUGAAAAACUACACCAGAAAAUGGUAUCGAAGGUUUGUGGGAUUCCUUUUGUAAAUUUUCUAAUACACCGAAGAGAUGAUUCCACUUCAUUGUCAAUGGAUUGUACUUGUCCACGUACUUGACCACGCUUACGUCUUUGUCCACGUGGCAUUUCUGGAAAAAAUGAUCUGAAUAUAAGAUUAAGAUCAAAUAAUGAACUAAAAACGUACAUAUGAAAUAAGCUACUCAGGAGGAGACGAUGCAAAAUCUGAAAAGAAAAGAAAAAAUUGAUUAAUACACUAACAUAAGCAAAUAGAUAUAAGAUCUGAAAAUAAGGAAAAUAUAAAAUCUGUAAAAUUUAAUCUAAAAAUCAGGCUUAUAUAUAUGAACUUAUAUAAAACUCAACUAUGAACUCUAAGACUUCUAAAUACAUUGAUUUUAAUAAAAGAAAAAUGAAUAAAUAGGGCUCAUCGGAUUAAGAUUUUGAACAUAUAUUAUUUAGAAUACAGAAUGAAUAAUCAGAAAUUAAGAAUAAGAUUAAAUCAGAAGUAAGAAUAUGAUCAGAAAUUAAGAAUAAAAAAUUUAUGUAUUAGAAUAAAGAAAUUAAGAAUAAGAUUGCAUCAAAAAUUAAAAAUAAUAUCAGAAAUUAAGGCUAAGAUUAGUUCUCCUAACUCAUAGCAACCUAAAGCGUUGAAAACUAACCAAAAUGAAUAAUAAGGAGAUUAUUUUAUUUGAAUACAACACAAUAAGAAGAAGAAUUAAGAAGAAAAAUAGAUGACCACUGUGGAAUGAUUCUGAAUAACACCAAAAAAAAUUGAUUGAUUAAUGACACCAACCACCAUGAAUAGCUGAUUGAAAAAAGAUAGACUAUUUACCUACCACUGAAUUGGUUUUAAACACUGAAUUAGUUUCAUUCUAGGGUAACAUACAAGGCAGUAAUGUACUAUUGGUUUCAUUCUAAAGGGAAGUCUGGCUAAAUGUAUGGAUGGUGAAGUCGUAACAUAAACUUUAGGGAUAAGGGAGAAAAAUUAACUGUUAAACCUUCCCCAAACUACUAGAACCGAUUUCAGUAUGCAUAUAAAAAUUACAGAACAGGAUUAACAAUUCUGGAAACCAAAAUGAAUGAUGUUACUUAGAGAACAGAAUUAACACUAACCCUAACUCUAAAAUUAAUCCAUUCCUUUGUUUUUGGUAAAUCUAUCUCAUCCACAAAAUACCAUCUUUAAUAUUCUCAAUACAAUUAAAUGAAUGUCAGAACAUAUAUAAUAUCAUCUUCAUUUCAAUUCCUGUUAAAAGUUAAACAAAAUCAGACAAGAUCAUCACUAUGUCAGAAUAGGUAACAAUAUUUUUCUGUAAGGCUUGUUUUCAGAUUCUAACAUGUAUUAUUGUUUGUGUUUUAAUCAAUCUGUAGUUCUAUAGCAUGGUUAUGAGGAUGAGCAUAGAUUGUGAUUGCUGCAACAGAAAAAUAAGAAGAACCCUUCUGAAGAUGUAAUGUAAAAAAAUGAUUCUUAAUUACAGAUAUUUAUAAUUAAUGGACACUGUUUUGUUUUAACACAAAAAGGAGAAAAUAACUUUAUUUUUUUAACAAGUGGGUUAACACAUCUAGACUCUAGCUAUAUAUAUCAUAUGUUCUCUACAAAAAACAAUUGCUGAUAUGCAUGUUACAAAAUAAAUCUCACAAAAAUCACUUACAAGGUUAGGCUUUCCGGAUUUUCAAUGAUCUUUGGAAAUGUCCGAGGAAAGGUUGCUAACUCAGCAUCAUAAAUAAUAAACUUAAUAAACUAAAUGGAUAAUUGGUUAUUAAUCAAUCAUCCAACUUAAUAAACUAAAAAACAGAACAGGCCGAUGGCGAUGGAAUCAGAAUAUGAAUAGGAAUGAGGAUGGAAUCAAGAUGAGAUCAGUAACAGGGGAAUCAGAUUUUCAUUACUUUAGGUAGGUUUUGAUGUAGCUCCCGACAUCGUUUAAGUUCCCUGUUGGACUUUGAAGUUUAUGUAUAUAUUAAGGAGGCUGAUGGGGAUGGAAUCGGAAUAUGAAACUCUAAAUAUUAAAUCUGUCUCCAGAAUUGGUAUUGGGGGAUUUCGAAGAAAAAAAACAUGAUUUGGAAUUUGGGGAAAGUUGGACAGGAAGAAAUAGCGAUUCCCAAAUGAUUCUCGCCUCUAGAAACAGUGCCCGGAGAAGAUUGAGAAGUUGGACAGAAGAUUGGAAUUCAUAACCGGCUGGAGUAGAGCUUGAAAUUUUUUCUUGAGAAGAUUGAGAAGAAAGAUUUGGGAUUUGGGGUAUAAGGGUUUACGAUUUGG